GAGGGAUCAUUACAAGUGACCCCGGUUUACCACCGGGAUGUUCAUAACCCUUUGUUGUCCGACUCUGUUGCCUCCGGGGCGACCCUGCCUUCGGGCGGGGGCUCCGGGUGGACACUUCAAACUCUUGCGUAACUUUGCAGUCUGAGUAAACUUAAUUAAUAAAUUAAAACUUUUAACAACGGAUCUCUUGGUUCUGGCAUCGAUGAAGAACGCAGCGAAAUGCGAUAAGUAAUGUGAAUUGCAGAAUUCAGUGAAUCAUCGAAUCUUUGAACGCACAUUGCGCCCCCUGGUAUUCCGGGGGGCAUGCCUGUUCGAGCGUCAUUUCACCACUCAAGCCUCGCUUGGUAUUGGGCAACGCGGUCCGCCGCGUGCCUCAAAUCGACCGGCUGGGUCUUCUGUCCCCUAAGCGUUGUGGAAACUAUUCGCUAAAGGGUGCUCGGGAGGCUACGCCGUAAAACAACCCCAUUUCUAAGGUUGACCUCGGAUCAGGUAGGGAUACCCGCUGAACUU
Molecule: ribosomal RNA, 510 nt
Filed under: Cladosporium sp. 1 PV-2016
Lineage: Eukaryota; Fungi; Ascomycota; Dothideomycetes; Cladosporiales; Cladosporiaceae
Description: eukaryotic LSU rRNA
Rfam family: 5.8S ribosomal RNA (bases 168-321)
Source: RNAcentral